GUGCUUGCUUCAGCAGUACAUAUACUAAAAUUAGAAUGAUACAGAGAAGAUUAGCAUGUCCCCUAUGCAAGGAUGACAUCCAAAUUAAUGAAGUGUUCCAUAUUUUU
Small nuclear RNA from Jaculus jaculus (lesser Egyptian jerboa), 107 nucleotides. The record is from Ensembl. NCBI's taxonomy places the organism in Eukaryota, Metazoa, Chordata, Mammalia, Rodentia, Dipodidae.